This 441-nucleotide ribosomal RNA is filed under the name uncultured bacterium. RNAcentral's name for it is "partial 16S ribosomal RNA". It matches the Rfam family "Bacterial small subunit ribosomal RNA", at positions 28 to 507 of the family's 1533-position model. The record is from RNAcentral.
GAUGAACGCUGGCGGCGUGCCUAAUACAUGCAAGUCGAACGGGGAGUAGCAAUACUCUUAGUGGCGAACGGGUGAGUAACGCGUUGGUACCUGCCCCGAAGCGGGGGAUAACGGACCGAAAGGUCCGCUAAUACCCCAUGUGCUCGGUAACGAGUAAAGGUGAAAACCACUUUGGGAGGGGCAUGCGUCCCAUCAGCUAGUUGGUAAGGUAACGGCUUACCAAGGCGAUGACGGGUAGGGGACCUGAGAGGGUGGCCCCCCACAAUGGAACUGAGACACGGUCCAUACACCUACGGGUGGGAGCAGUAGGGAAUAUUGGUAACGGGCGCAAGCCUGAACCAGCAACGCCGCGUGUGCGAUGACGGCCUUCGGGUUGUAAAGCACUUUUGACUGGGACGAGGAAGGACGGUACCGGUCGAAUCAGCCUCGGCUAACUACGUG